RNAcentral lists this small RNA (653 nucleotides) under Pan troglodytes (chimpanzee). Lineage: Eukaryota; Metazoa; Chordata; Mammalia; Primates; Hominidae. The record is from RNAcentral.
AGAGGCUGCCGAAGAUGGCGGAGGUGCAGGUCCUGGUGCUUGAUGGUCGAGGCCAUCUCCUGGGCCGCCUGGCGGCCAUCGUGGCUAAACAGGUACUGCUGGGUAAGUCGCUGCUCGCGGCCCCUCUGUCAUGGGCCCCCGCUGGAGGUCAGUGAUGAGCAACAUUCACCAUCUUUCGUUUGAGUCUCACGGCCAUGAGAUCAACCCCAUGCACCGCUCUGAGACCUGCCAGCCACUCUUCCCCAGGGUUGGGGACUCCAGGCUCAAGAAGUAAUUAUGUAUUAGGCUAGUUUUUCAUUUUAACAUGAACUUAGCUCUGGCGAGUACUGCGCUGUGUCUGGAGGGUUGACUGCAUAGGCAAUGGUGGGACCCUCAGGCGGCUCGGCCCUGCUAAGCCUUUCCCUCCCUCUAGGCCGGAAGGUGGUGGUCGUACGCUGUGAAGGCAUCAACAUUUCUGGCAAUUUCUACAGAAACAAGUUGAAGUACCUGGCUUUCCUCCGCAAGCGGAUGAACACCAACCCUUCCCGAGGCCCCUACCACUUCCGGGCCCCCAGCCGCAUCUUCUGGCGGACCGUGCGAGGUAUGCUGCCCCACAAAACCAAGCGAGGCCAGGCCGCUCUGGACCGUCUCAAGGUGUUUGACGGCAUCCCACC